Molecule: long non-coding RNA, 1351 nt
Organism: Siniperca chuatsi (mandarin fish)
Lineage: Eukaryota; Metazoa; Chordata; Actinopteri; Centrarchiformes; Sinipercidae
Exons: 2
Source: RefSeq, a predicted model, not a curated record
UGGGAUAAAGCAAAGAGAGAGAGAGAGAGAGAGAGAGAGAGAGCUGCAGAAAAAGUAAAAGGCGGAAUGGAAUUCAGGGAGUGCUGAAACAGAAGACAGCUAAUCCCGGUGUGGGGAGACGCCACCUAGUAGACACCAAGAACCAGAGGGACUUUGCUGACAGCAAUCCACAUUGCACUUUAACCAGAAUGUCAUCGACGUGGUGCCUGACAGCUACAAGACACCAUACCUGAUAAAGAUCACUUCUGACUGGUGCUUCAGCUGCAUCCACAUUGAGCCGGUCUGGAAAGAGGUGGUGCAGGAGAUGGAGACUCUGUAACUCAUCCAAAAUCAUUCAGCAGCCUUGUCAUCUGUGUAAGAUAUCCACAAACCUUUUCAGGUUUGUGGAUAUCUUAUCAUGGAUAUGAGAGAUGGGUAGCCAGUCACCUUGGUGCUCAUGGCACCCCAUCGAUACUUGAAGUCAUCAAUGGCAAAGUGAAGUUUUUCCAUUAUGCUGUAGCAAAGGAGCCCUGGAGGCAGUUUGUAUUAGACCUGCUUCCUGUCAGAGACUUGUGGAGCAGGUAAAUAUCUGGCUGUCUUGUUCGCAGUAAUGCUGAUAAACAUUGUAUUGGCAGUGCGUUACAGGAAAACAUUACAUUUGAAAGUUGUACACACCUCACAUGUAGGUGCAAGGCUAUUGGAAAUCAGCACUGAUAAAGAGUAAUGCCUGCACACUGACUCAAAACCAUGAAAUUAUUUAAGUUUUGAUCCCCCGUCUUUGUCAGAUCAGGCAUUACAACGCUGCAUUUUUCAUAUACAGUAUCUUAGAUGCCACUGACAGGAACUGAAUUACUAACACAAACGUCAAUAAUUUAUCUCUAUAUCUGCACAGCUGACAGGUUUUUGCUUAUAAGGACGUGGCUAUCUUUCAGAGAUAACAAAUUUCUCCCUGCGCCAAGGCUGGUCUAUCAGAAGCUCUUUGAUGAAUAUUUUGUUGUAAUUCUGUGGAUUUUAGAAAUGUUGCAGACAUAAUAUUAAUUUCAUGUUCUGAAUGUUUUCCAAAUGGCCACAAAUGAUGCAUUAUUAUAUUCAUGUGAUAUAGAAUUAUGUGACAUGACAAACGCAUGAAAGUGAAGUCAAACUUAGUGUGCGCUUGGUUUAUUCAUUUGUUUUGUUAACAUAAACUGUAAAAAUGUCACUGUUAAUAUAUUACAUGGAAUACUCUUUUACAAGUAGGUGUAAAUGACAUCUGCUGCUGUUUCAGUUGUUCUUCGAUAGUGCAUUCAUCAUCUUGAUCGUUGUAAUAAAAUGCAAUAUCUUUAUUGAAUAAAACAUUAAAUUGUAAUUGUUGCAGGACAGCCUGCUCAUUUGG